GCCUGUGUGGUCUAGUGGUUUGAAUUUUGGACUACAACUCUGGAGACCAGGGUUCAAAUUCCUGCUCAGCCA
Non-coding RNA from Phrynosoma platyrhinos (Desert horned lizard), 72 nucleotides. The record is from the annotation of a GenBank genome assembly. Lineage: Eukaryota; Metazoa; Chordata; Lepidosauria; Squamata; Phrynosomatidae.